AUUUUAUGGGAAUUCGGUAUUGAUCCUUUAAGGCAGAAUUACAGGUACCCAAUUCAAAGAUCUGCUGUCUAUUUGGAAAUUGCAACGGUCAACACUGAAAAGAUGAAGAUCGUAAUCGUCUUGCUUGUGGUACUAGCAGUUGGAACAGACUGUAGUUUGCAUCGAGUGUCCAAUGUACCCAUACGUGUUCCAAAACGAUGUCGUGGACAUUUGGAGUGGAAUUCCUGCGGUUCUGCUUGUCCGCCGAUUUGCGGGCAAAAGCAACCAUUAGGCUGCCACAAAAUGUGUGUCAGUGGCUGCGCGUGCCCCGGGGACAAGGUCAGGGUCUCCGCUAACAGCAUCUUGUGCGUGGACAGUAUGGAGGACUGUCCGCAGUACGCGUGAAACAGCCGACAUUACUGUGUCAAUAUUCUGUAAACAAGUUUGGUUCAAAAAUGAAAUGCAAUAAACAACGUAAAGAUUGUCA
Molecule: long non-coding RNA, 466 nt
Organism: Lingula anatina
Lineage: Eukaryota; Metazoa; Brachiopoda; Lingulata; Lingulida; Lingulidae
Source: RefSeq, a predicted model, not a curated record